GUAGUUAGCCGGGGCUUCCUCCUUGGCUACCGUCACUUUCUUCGUCACCAAGGACAGAGGUUUACAACCCGAAAGCCUUCUUCCCUCACGCGGCGUUGCUGGGUCAGGCUUGCGCCCAUUGCCCAAUAUUCCCCACUGCUGCCUCCCGUAGGAGUCUGGACCGUGUCUCAGUUCCAGUGUGGCCGAUCAGCCUCUCAGCUCGGCUACCCAUCGUUGGCUAGGUGGGCCGUUACCCCGCCUACUACCUAAUGGGACGCGAACCCCUCCUUUAGCGGAUUUCUCCUUUGACCUCUGUGUCAUGCGGCACUGUGGUCUUAUGCGGUAUUAGCACCUGUUUCCAAGUGUUAUCCCCCUCUAAAGGGCAGGUUGUUCACGCGUUACUCACCCGUGCGCCACUAGAAUUAUCAAUUCCAUCCGAAAACUUCCUUAAUAAUCCCCGUUCGACUUGCAUGUGUUAGGCACGCCGCCAGCGUUCGUCCUGAACCAAGAUCAAAUUCUGA
RNAcentral lists this ribosomal RNA (500 nucleotides) under uncultured bacterium. RNAcentral's name for it is "partial 16S ribosomal RNA". The record is from RNAcentral.